This 301-nucleotide ribosomal RNA is filed under the name uncultured bacterium. RNAcentral describes it as "partial 16S ribosomal RNA". It matches the Rfam family "Bacterial small subunit ribosomal RNA", at positions 509 to 807 of the family's 1533-position model. The record is from RNAcentral.
CAGCAGCCACGGUAAUACGUAGGGUGCAAGCGUUAAUCGGAAUUACUGGGCGUAAAGCGUGCGCAGGCGGUUUGUUAAGACAGAUGUGAAAUCCCCGGGCUUAACCUGGGAACUGCAUUUGUGACUGGCAAGCUAGAGUAUGGCAGAGGGGGGUGGAAUUCCGCGUGUAGCAGUGAAAUGCGUAGAUAUGCGGAGGAACACCGAUGGCGAAGGCAGCCCCCUGGGCCAAUACUGACGCUCAUGCACGAAAGCGUGGGGAGCAAACAGGAUUAGAUACCUGAGUAGUCCCUGUCUCUUAUAC